This 778-nucleotide ribosomal RNA is filed under the name uncultured bacterium SY6-93. Its description in RNAcentral is "bacterial SSU rRNA". It matches the Rfam family "Bacterial small subunit ribosomal RNA", at positions 41 to 817 of the family's 1533-position model. The record is from RNAcentral.
AACGUGCUCAACACAUGCAAGUCGAACGAGAAAGUCCGUAAGGAUGAGUAAAGUGGCGUCCGGGUGAGUAACACGUGAAUUAUCUACCCUUGGGUGAAGAAUACCCUCGAGAAAUCGAGGUUAAUACUGCAUAAGCCGGUAACGGGAAAGGUGGCCUCUUUGCUACCGCCGAAGGAUGAGUUUGCGGCCUAUUAGUUAGUUGGUGGGGUAAAGGCCUACCAAGACGAAGAUGGGUAGCCGGCCUGAGAGGGUGUACGGCCACAAUGGAACUGACACACGGUCCAUACUCCUACGGGAGGCAGCAGUGGGGAAUAUUGCACAAUGGGCGCAAGCCUGAUGCAGCGACGCCGCGUGAGGGAAGAAGGUUUUAGGAUUGUAAACCUCUGUUAAGUGGGAAAAAAUACCGACGGUUAAUACCCGAUCGGAGAUGAUGGUACCACUAGAGAAAGUACCGGCAAACUUCGUGCCAGCAGCCGCGGUAAUACGAAGGGUACGAGCGUUAUUCGGAGUUACUGGGCGUAAAGAGCGCGUAGGCGGUUAGUUAAGUUAGUUGUUAAAUUCCUCGGCCUAACCGGGGAUCCGCAACUGAAACUGGCUGACUAGAGUGUAAGAGAGAGAAGUAGAAUUCCCGGAGUAGCGGUAAAAUGCGUAGAUCUCGGGAGGAAUACCCGAUGGCGAAGGCAAGCUUNUUGGCUUAUAACUGACGCUUAAAUGCNAAAGCGUGGGGAGCAAACAGGAUUAGAUNCCCNGGUAGUCCACNCCNNAAACNAUGAUCACU